RNAcentral lists this long non-coding RNA (4795 nucleotides) under Mytilus galloprovincialis (Mediterranean mussel). The record is from RNAcentral. Lineage: Eukaryota; Metazoa; Mollusca; Bivalvia; Mytilida; Mytilidae.
GUAAUGGCGAACGCAUAUCUAUUAUUUUACUCUAUGCAACAUAUUUCAGAUUUAUGCAUGAGUCUUUAUUCGUAGUGUUAUUGAUCCUCUGGGUUUUAUAGGUAAGUUUUAGACUUGCGACUAAUCAUUUUACGAUAUACGUUAUUAAUAUGACUUUAUUACAAUUUACUUUCAAUUGGUGAAAAUAUAUAUAGGGACAAUAGAUUAACCUAAAAGUGUUGUUUACCCACAUUUAUAUCUUUUUAAUAUAUCUUAUAGCACAACUUGUUGAGUCAAUGAUAUUAAUGACAGAAUGUUAAUAUUACUAUAGGUGUAAUACCAUCUAAUUUACAUCCGGUUUCAUUAGAAAAACGUUAAGAAGAUAUUACCUUGAAUUUGAGAGUUGAAGUAAAUUAAUCCUGCAUUUUUUUUAACUUUGUGUUUCUAUAGAAUAUUUUAGCAACUUACCGUUAAAUGGUCAGUCAAGACAAAAAGGAUUGAAAGUUUGAUUGGUUGACUUCCAGUGAUAGUUAUUUUCUGAUAUGCAAUGAAAUGUUAUAUGAAAUUAUGUCUUUAGUAUUGGACAGGAAAAAACUUUACUCAUGACAAGUAUUUCUUUAUUAGAAACAAAGAUAAAUUCUGCAAAAAAUUUUAAAGAUUACUGGUCUAUUUUCUUAUUACAAAACCAAAUAGGUAUAUUCAUAACGCAUUCCUUUAUAAAAGCAAACGUAUCUUUGUUAUCUCCCCUUUAAUAGCAAAAUUGAGAAAAAAAAAUUAAUCAAACUGAAAUAUUGUAAACUUCUGAGAAACUGUAAAUUAAAAAUACCAUUAACACCUCAUUUUCUUCCUUUAGAUGAAAAUUUGUACGAAUGAAUAUCAGUUUAUUAAUUAAAGAUUGUUUUCUGUUAUUUUACACAUUUUUAUAUCUUCAACAAGGAUUAAACAUUGCCAUGGAGAGAAGUGUCAAAUUCAAAUGACAGUAUGAAACAAUUACGGACAUCUUCUUAGUCCUGUACCUCUUAUCCUUCGGGUCUAUCUGCGCUAAACAAUAACUAUAUAAUAAGAUGAGUACAUUUUUUUAUAAUCUUAACAAAAUGCAUCUGCACAAACAGCAUCUGUCUAUAUAAUUCGAAAGUUCGCUUGUCAAAUGUGCGUUUUGGUCUUAUAUGUUUAUACAUUUUUCUUUGCCAGGUCGUUUAAUUUACUAUGUCCGUAGUUACUAUAUCAUUUAUUCGAGUACAUUUGUUUAAUCAAUAGCACGUAAAACAAAAAAGCAUUUUUAGAAAUUGUUUGAUUUCUCCAUGGGCCGUAGAUAUCCAAUGAGUAUCAAUGAAUGAAUGAGUUUAUUUGCAAAAUGCAUAUACAUGCUAUAGCAAUCAAAACAUAUAUUACAUAUAUGGCACAAUGACUAACAGCAGAAAACAACACACAUGAUACAAAGUAAAGUUAUAAUUUGACAACUCAUUUUCAAUGCUGCCAUUAGAUAAUUACAAAAUUUUAUAGUCAGAUUUUUAUUAGCAGCUUUUAACAAUGAUCUAGUGUAUAGUAUUUGGCCUAGAAAAAACGUAUUUUGGUAAAUAAUAUGACCUUAAAAGUCUGUAUACAAGACAAACUAAAACAAAAUGGUGUUCGUAUUCAACAACGAUCAUAUUACAACAAAGAAAUAAUUGUAAUUCUCUUGGAGUAUUGGUAUAUCUACCAACUUCGAUAUCUAAUUGUAGUGUCCAACUAAAUAGUUUUGUAAGUCAUCGAACAUCACAAAAGAAAUGUAAGUAAUGUUCAUGACAAAAAGAUGUCUUGAUUCUUCUAUACAUACAAAGUUUUGACAUAAAGAUGCAGACCACUCUUGUAAAAAUUGAUCAGUAAUACUUGUUCCUAAUAACAUCAAAAACUACAUUAGUUAAAUCCUGUGAAAUAAUUUUAAAAAAAAAUCCGGCCAAUAGUUAUCAAAGGUACCAGGAUUAUAAUUUAGUACGCCAGACGCGCGUUUCGUCUACAUAAGACUCAUCAGUGACGCUCCUAUCAAAAUAUUUAUAAAGCCAAACAAGUACAAAGUUGAAGAGCGUUGAGGAUCCAAAAUUCCAAAAAGUUGUGCCAAAUACGGCUUAGGUAAUCUAUGCCUGGGAUAAGAAAAUCCUUAGUUUUUCGAAAAAUUCAAUCUUUUGUAAACAGGAAAUUUAUAAAAACGACCAUAUUAUUGAUAUUCAUGUCAACACCGAAGUGUUGACUACUGGGCUGGUGAUACCCUCGGGGACGAAACGUCCACCAGCAGUGGUAUCGACCCAGUAGUGUAAAUAGUUAUCAAAGGUACCAGGAUUAUAAUUUAGUACGCCAGACGCGCGUUUCGUCUACAUAAGACUCAUCAGUGACGCUCAUAUCAAAAUAUUUAUAAAGCCAAACAAGUACAAAGUUGAAAAGCAUUGAGGAUCCAAAAUUCCAAAAAGUUGUGCCAAAUACGGCUAAGGUAAUCUAUGCAAUAUUACACAAUAAUUAUUUGUUUUACAAUUACUAAUAUCUUUAUACAGAAGCUGGUGAACAUUGUAAACAACACUUGAUUUUUUUCGAUAUAAUAUAAAACAAAUAAUUACAAAUUAUAAUACGCCCUGAAACGUACUUAGGCACCACACAGAAAAGUAAUAGGUACAUUUUUAUCAACCUUUUCAAGAAAUCUACAAAAAUGUUUAAAAGUUAAUUUAUGUCAUGAGCACGACGAGAGCCCAAUAUUUCUGAUACGUUACUAAGAACGGAACCAACUAUACUGUCAAAAAAACAACAACAUUGAUCAGUUGAAAUGUUUUACAUUUUCGAUAGUAUUCAUCAGUGAUGAUAAAGCAUUGAACCCUUGCUGAGCUAGACAUUUCUCUAUAGAAAUUUGCCAUUGAAAUGGAGUAAUAUUCCGACGUAAACGUACGAAUCAACCGUCAUCAGAUGAAAUGUCAUUUACUAAUAAGAAGACACUGUCCUGGUGUGAACGUGAACUCAUUGCAUCGGUCACUAUCCCAUUUUAUAAAAAAAAGUAUGUACCAUGAGAGGCUUGAACGGAGGACGUUUGUCAAAUUAAUAUAAAAAAAAUAUGGGCGCAUAAUCUAAAAAAUCAUUGAACUGUAGUACCUUGAAAUCACUAAUUUAAUUAUAAUUUGACAGUGAAAAUAAUAAAUAAUUCACACUGUUUUCCUUUUUAGUAAAGUUUCCUAGUCUAUCGUUUGCUACAAUUAAACCUGUAUCGUAACACAACUAAACAGGUCUGCGGCCAAAAUUCUUUACUGUCUUGUUCAUAGAUACUUUAUUCGGAAUAAUUGGGCUUUCAAUGUGUUGUACAGUAUGAACAUACUUAUCUAUAUCAUCAAUAUACAGAAAAUCAUUCGUUAUACUAAUAAGACUAUUCAAAUUCCCACAUACACUACCUUUAUCACUGUAUUCAAGACAAAUAAUUUCAAUUAGUUUAUGAAAAUAAAUAUCUAACAACCAGUAAUUAUUUGAAUUUUCGUGUGGGAUGUAUGAGAAACAAAUGAAAAUGUCAUAACCAAUACUGAAAAAAUCGUAUUUUUAAUUUUUUUAAUAACAAAUACCUUUUUGUUAAAAUGGUUUUAAAAAAAACAGCAACAUCAUCUUCAUUUUUCGCACCUUCAUUAACAUCUCUAUUUACACAUGAACUUUAGUACACCAAUUAUAUCUAUCAAGUUACUAUUAUAUAACCAUGUUUCGCUUAGAAAUAAAAUGUCAUACUCAUCGAUCAGAUUCAAGAAAUCAUUGACAUUAUAGACUGACGUCAGACCAUGAACGUUCAAAUAUCAUUUUAGGUUUUCGAGUUGAUCUUUGGGUACACCCUAUGAAACUUAUUCUUUGCCUUUAACAUAAAUCUUGUCUUUGACAAAAGAGGGGCGAAAGAUACCAGAGGGACAGUCAAACUCAUAAAUCGAAAAUAAACUGACAACGCCAUGGCUAAAAAUUGAAAAAGACAAACAGACAAAUAAUAGUACACAUGACACAACAUAGAAAGUAAAAGACUAUUCCGUACGAUGAAUUUUAUAACUGUUAAGCAUUUCUUUCUACAAAGUUGAGGUUUUCAAAAUCGGUUGCAACAUGCUCAAUUUUCAAGAUUUCCUUACAAAAGUCAUUAAUGACUGAGCAUGCUCAGUACAGUUUUCUUAUUCACUUGCUUUAAAGUUGAAAAAAAUAGGUUAUUCGGCAGUAAUUUAAACUUACAUCGGUCAGAUCAACAUUUAUUUCGUCGUUGUUUCUCCAUUUCUCCAAGCGAUUCACUAACCUUUUUGUCUACUGAAUCAACACUUGUGUAACUAGUUUUUAAUUUUGUGGAAAUUUUAUCAAGUUCAAAUUUGAAUUUCGUGUAUCAAAUUCAUUACUGAUUAUUGUAGUACAUCUCUCCAUUUGCUCAAUACGAUUAUCUAUGUUUAUAACCCGGUCAUUUUCUUUUUUAUCCGAAGUUUCUACCGAAGAAUUAUUAUCACUACUGUUAAUGGUAUUAGUCCUUUUUAUGCCUUUUUGGGGCAUCUUUGGCAUAAAAAUCACAAUAAAAAUCACAUUUUUAUUAGUCAUAUAAACAAAACUACUGUCCACCAUUGAGUCACAUGAUUCCUCAGUACAUUUAUAAUAUGUUUGUAAGUUUGUACCAUGAACCUAAAAAAAAGUUGUUUUUUUCGUUUUAGUGAUAAGUAUUCCUGAUCGUUAGUUAUGUCGGUUCGGUCAAAUCUUAGUAAAUCGAGGCUGCACAGCAAUAAACCUAGACAAUGUAGUCACUCACGUCCACGCUCCAACAUUCAGAUGGAUGACUUUGCUACGCCAGACGCAACAUUAU